This 220-nucleotide long non-coding RNA is filed under the name Mytilus galloprovincialis (Mediterranean mussel). The record is from RNAcentral. Lineage: Eukaryota; Metazoa; Mollusca; Bivalvia; Mytilida; Mytilidae.
CUUCAGACUCAAUCUUUUCACCAGAUAUAUCUCCAGUUGAAUCUUUCUCAGCGUGUGAGGUUGGAAUUCAACCAGAAAGUUGUUUGUCAGUAAACAAUGAUACCUCUGAUACUAUUACAUGCACUCCCGCUACUGCAAUUUCUUUACCAAGAUACACAAGCACUCCAUACUCUAAGAUCAACCCAUCGAGGACUUCACAACUCAGGAAAUGCUAGCAACG